Molecule: ribosomal RNA, 1540 nt
Filed under: Staphylococcus aureus
Lineage: Bacteria; Bacillati; Bacillota; Bacilli; Caryophanales; Staphylococcaceae
Description: 16S ribosomal RNA
Rfam family: Bacterial small subunit ribosomal RNA
Source: RNAcentral
AGAGUUUGAUCCUGGCUCAGGAUGAACGCUGGCGGCGUGCCUAAUACAUGCAAGUCGAGCGAACGGACGAGAAGCUUGCUUCUCUGAUGUUAGCGGCGGACGGGUGAGUAACACGUGGAUAACCUACCUAUAAGACUGGGAUAACUUCGGGAAACCGGAGCUAAUACCGGAUAAUAUUUUGAACCGCAUGGUUCAAAAGUGAAAGACGGUCUUGCUGUCACUUAUAGAUGGAUCCGCGCUGCAUUAGCUAGUUGGUAAGGUAACGGCUUACCAAGGCAACGAUGCAUAGCCGACCUGAGAGGGUGAACGGCCACACUGGAACUGAGACACGGUCCAGACUCCUACGGGAGGCAGCAGUAGGGAAUCUUCCGCAAUGGGCGAAAGCCUGACGGAGCAACGCCGCGUGAGUGAUGAAGGUCUUCGGAUCGUAAAACUCUGUUAUUAGGGAAGAACAUAUGUGUAAGUAACUGUGCACAUCUUGACGGUACCUAAUCAGAAAGCCACGGCUAACUACGUGCCAGCAGCCGCGGUAAUACGUAGGUGGCAAGCGUUAUCCGGAAUUAUUGGGCGUAAAGCGCGCGUAGGCGGUUUUUUAAGUCUGAUGUGAAAGCCCACGGCUCAACCGUGGAGGGUCAUUGGAAACUGGAAAACUUGAGUGCAGAAGAGGAAAGUGGAAUUCCAUGUGUAGCGGUGAAAUGCGCAGAGAUAUGGAGGAACACCAGUGGCGAAGGCGACUUUCUGGUCUGUAACUGACGCUGAUGUGCGAAAGCGUGGGGAUCAAACAGGAUUAGAUACCCUGGUAGUCCACGCCGUAAACGAUGAGUGCUAAGUGUUAGGGGGUUUCCGCCCCUUAGUGCUGCAGCUAACGCAUUAAGCACUCCGCCUGGGGAGUACGACCGCAAGGUUGAAACUCAAAGGAAUUGACGGGGACCCGCACAAGCGGUGGAGCAUGUGGUUUAAUUCGAAGCAACGCGAAGAACCUUACCAAAUCUUGACAUCCUUUGACAACUCUAGAGAUAGAGCCUUCCCCUUCGGGGGACAAAGUGACAGGUGGUGCAUGGUUGUCGUCAGCUCGUGUCGUGAGAUGUUGGGUUAAGUCCCGCAACGAGCGCAACCCUUAAGCUUAGUUGCCAUCAUUAAGUUGGGCACUCUAAGUUGACUGCCGGUGACAAACCGGAGGAAGGUGGGGAUGACGUCAAAUCAUCAUGCCCCUUAUGAUUUGGGCUACACACGUGCUACAAUGGACAAUACAAAGGGUAGCGAAACCGCGAGGUCAAGCAAAUCCCAUAAAGUUGUUCUCAGUUCGGAUUGUAGUCUGCAACUCGACUACAUGAAGCUGGAAUCGCUAGUAAUCGUAGAUCAGCAUGCUACGGUGAAUACGUUCCCGGGUCUUGUACACACCGCCCGUCACACCACGAGAGUUUGUAACACCCGAAGCCGGUGGAGUAACCUUUUAGGAGCUAGCCGUCGAAGGUGGGACAAAUGAUUGGGGUGAAGUCGUAACAAGGUAGCCGUAUCGGAAGGUGCGGCUGGAUCACCU